GGACCACCCACACCACGCAGAGUCAUCUUCACAGCCCCAUUGUUACAUCGUACAGGCUACAGUUUAUUUCUCUCUCUACAAUCUUGCACAUCUCACUCUAGUGGCCUCUGAUUCUUCCAUGGACGCAGCAGCAACGGCGACGGCGUCGCAGCUCGUGUACUGCGGAAUCGAGCCUCUUCGUCGCACCUGCCCCGCCGCUUCCAAGAAGAGAGCUAUGCCUUCUGGAAUAGUUGCGUUUCGGCGACCAAACGGCGUGGUUCGGGCCGUGGCCACCGACCCCAAGCCUAACCAAACAGAAUCUUCUGGAUCGUCUCCGAGGCGGGGGGUCGUCAAUGGGUCUUCUAGAUCUCCGCCUGUCAAUGGCGUUUCGACGAGAAUUGGAGAUGUUUCAAAAGAGAUUAAAAAAGUAAGAGCUCAGAUGGAAGAGAAUGAACAAGUGGCUAUACUUAUGAGAGGUCUUAGGGGUCAAAAUUUACGGGAUUCACAGUUUGCUGAUGAGAAUGUUCAGCUUCGGCUAGUUGAGGUAGAUGAAAGCAGUGAGUUUUUGCCCUUGGUGUAUGAUCCUGCUAGUAUAGCUGCAUACUGGGGAAGAAGGCCUCGAGCAGUUGCCACUCGUAUUGUCCAGUUACUCUCUGUUGCUGGGGGUUUUCUUUCACAUCUUGCCUGGGAUUUAAUAAAUAAGAAGGUCAAGGAGAAUGAAGUUGCUCGGGCAAUUGAAUUGAGAGAGAUUGUAACAUCUUUGGGUCCAGCAUAUAUAAAACUUGGGCAAGCAUUGAGUAUUCGACCAGAUAUACUAUCCCCUGUGGCAAUGACUGAGUUGCAAAAACUUUGUGAUAAGGUCCCUUCAUUUCCUGAUGAUGUAGCUAUGGCUCUAAUUGAAGAAGAGCUUGGCCGACCAUGGCAUAAAAUAUAUUCUGAGCUUACUUCUUCCCCAAUUGCUGCUGCAUCUCUUGGACAGGUAUAUAAGGGCCGACUAAAAGAAAAUGGGGAUUUGGUGGCUGUUAAAGUGCAGAGGCCUUUCGUUCUUGAGACUGUGACAGUUGAUUUGUUCGUCAUACGAAACUUGGGGUUAGUUCUCCGGAAGUUUCCUCAGAUCUCUGUUGAUGUGGUUGGCUUGGUUGAUGAAUGGGCAGCCCGUUUCUUUGAGGAGCUUGAUUAUGUUAAUGAGGGUGAAAAUGGGACACACUUUGCUGAAAUGAUGAGGAAGGACCUUCCACAGGUUGUUGUACCAAAAACCUAUGAGAAAUAUACUUCGAGAAAGGUUCUCACCACACAAUGGAUAGAAGGAGAAAAGCUGUCACAAAGUACAGAAAGUGAUGUCGGGGAUCUGGUAAAUGUUGGAGUCAUAUGCUACCUAAAGCAGUUGCUUGAUACUGGUUUUUUCCAUGCUGAUCCACAUCCGGGAAAUUUGAUCCGCACUCCAGAUGGGAAGCUAGCUAUACUAGACUUUGGCCUAGUGACAAAGUUAACAGAUGAUCAGAAGUAUGGAAUGAUUGAAGCAAUUGCUCACCUUAUUCAUCGGGAUUAUGGAGCAAUAGUGAAAGAUUUUGUCAAACUUGAUUUCAUUCCAGAGGGGGUUAAUUUGGAACCAAUCUUGCCAGUGCUGGCCAAAGUCUUUGAUCAGGCACUUGAAGGGGGUGGAGCAAAGAAUAUCAACUUUCAGGAAUUGGCAUCAGAUUUGGCCCAAAUAACAUUUGAUUAUCCGUUCAGGAUACCUCCGUAUUUUGCUCUUAUAAUUAGAGCAAUAGGGGUGCUGGAAGGCAUAGCUUUGGUGGGUAACCCUGAUUUUGCUAUUGUAGAUGAAGCUUAUCCCUAUUUAGCACAGAGGCUCCUGACUGAUGAGUCACCUCGUUUAAGGAAUGCAUUACGAUAUACAAUAUAUGGAAAAUCUGGAGUUUUUGAUGCUGAAAGAUUCAUUGAUGUCAUGCAAGCCUUUGAGGAUUUCAUAACAGCCGCUAAGAGUGGAGGUGGAGAAAAUAUGAAUGGGGGUAUGGCUGAACUUGGAAUCCUGCAAAGUCAAAAUAGUUCUAUUUUUCCUGGAUUUCCUUCCAGUACAUCUCAACUACAGCAGCCAGUUCAAACAAGGGCAGCCCUAGCAUUUCUACUGUCUGACAAGGGAAACUUUUUUCGAGAAUUUCUUCUGGAUGAGAUUGUAAAGGGCAUGGAUGCUAUUGCAAGGGAACAGUUGGUACAGAUAAUGGCAGUCCUAGGGAUGGGUGAUGCUGCUCCAGUAUUUAGUAUGGUUCCUGCUUUUGGACUUAUCAAGCCUGCUGCACUUCUACCCACAGUAACUGAGGAAGACAAAGUUAUACUGAAUAACGUUCAAAAAAUUGUUGAAUUUCUAACUGCAGGAAGUUCAAAAUCAAGACCAUUGAAUCAGAGUGUGGAUGAUGCUCAGAUUAUCCAAGAGUUGAUUCCAGUGUUGCCAGGCAUCUCUGCUACAAUACUACCUGAGGUGCUAAGUCGAUUAUCUUCCCGGGUUGCAGCUCGCAUCAUCCGGGAUGCAUUUUUGUAAGAUGAAAUUGUAGUCUUAUUCUCAAAGCCCCCAGCAAUUGUGCAUGUUUUGAUUAACCAUAUGUCAACGCAAGAUGAUCUGUCCAAACCAUGCCUUAUUGGUUCGCACGAUUCCCGCAAGGUGGAAAUCUUUGCCAACGUAGUUAUCCAACUCUGCAAUAAAUUGAAGAGGUGAUGGGGGGUUCUAUGACUUACUAUGUACAGAUUUGCAAAAUGGAUUCCUUGCUUUAUAGAAGGCAUUUCUCCACAAAAAACCAGGCCGCCACCAGGUCAGGUCAGGUCAGGUCAGAUACACUCAUAAGGAAUCUCAUGGCCACGACCGCGCGCACACACAGGUGAUGAGGGGCUCUAUGACUUACCAUGAGCCAAUUCAAAGUAUGGUAUUCAAAUCUCUCAUUUUUGGUCGCAAAAAACAAUUUCAGAAUCAUAUCUGACAAAAUGCCUCAAGUAAAAACUUCUUUUACCAUUAUCUUCUAGUUUAGCUACCAGGGUUAACCUUGGUGAAUUUAGCAGUAUUUCACUUUCACAAAUCAGGAAGCAUCCCAUAGGUGUCAUGAAGAAAACAACAUUAAUACAUCAUGAAAAUGCAAAAAAUAUCCCAAAGUUUUUCAACAAAAGAGAACUAGAUAGGUCUCUUUAGACUACGAGAAAGGUUUCCUUAUAGCUGGCACUAACUUUUCUUCCAAAAAGAACCUACUUCAACGCUAUUAGAUUACAUGCAUUAUACAAAGGAAGAAAUUUCAUUGAUUUUUCACAUAGUAAGGAUAAUGCUUAAUUCCAGUUGUUACAAGGUUUUCCCCCCAAUUGAAAUGUGGCUUGGCCAACACAAAACACUCAUUUGUAAACUUUUGUCCUACGGGAAAUUAAUGGAGCUUAUUGUCACAUCAGAUUAGUUCCCUCAUAGAUGGAGAUUAUUAUGCUCACAUUAGAACUAAGUUCUAGUGUGAUAACUUUCCUUGAUGUGUACAAUGAUUGACCAGCCCAAGAUCUUUACAAAGAAAGAAUACAUGUCAUCAAUUUCUCUGUUUAGAUUUUUGCGAAAAUUGAAAUGCCAUGAAAGAGAAGAGACAUUUGAAACCAACCCCACCCCUAACCCCACCCCCACACCCAUCCCCCACUAAAAAGGGAAAAAAAGGGUGUGGAAAUAGGGGCAUUUUGCCAUCUUAACAUUCAAAAUAAAUGAACAAGAGAUCAAAAGAUUGCUUCCCACCAUAGAUGAAGGUGAGAAUGGAUUCUCAAAUAAUCACCAACCAACAAAUAAAUCUAAAAGGGGUUGAAAAUAACAAAAAAUUUGUGAGAUGGCUUUCUUAGAACACCCAAAAGCCCUCAUUGGCAUAUCAACAAUUAUCUUGCAAACCACAAUUAGUUUUGAUGAGGAAGCACCAAAGAGAAUUUGCUCAUGUGAGAAUCUCCAAGCCAAUUUUCCAAUGCAAGAGGUCUUUUAGUGUUCUAGGACAAUAAGGUGUUGGAACUGAUUGAUGUGGAAGCAGGUGGGUUCUCUAUUUCCCGUUGUUUCAUUGUGAAGAUGAUUUUGCUUGGACAUUCCCAAGGGUGUAUAGGCCAAUCCAAAGGGUGAAGAGAGGAUUUUUGGGUAGAAUUAGGUCUAAAAAAGGUAUCUAGGGGGACCCUUGGUGUUUAAGAGACUUUAAUGUGGUUGAAUUUCUUGGGAAAAGGAGGAAUUGCACAAAGUUGUCUUCAACUAUGAGGCAAUUUUUUGAGGUCAAAGGGGAUUUGAACUUGACAAACCUUCCUUUCAAAUCCUCCUUUUUGAAUUGGGGGAAUGAAUACCUAGCAUUAGCAGUAUGAACCUCAAAAUCUUAGUGAUGAGUCUAGGAGCUUGGAAGUGCCUUUUUCAAAGAGGAGGUUCUUGUUGCCCUGUCUAAUUUGAUCCAAGGAUAAAACUCUACGGCCACAUGGUUUCAUUAUAGCUUUUUGGCAGACAUGUUGGAACAUUGUCAAAGACGAAGUAAUGGAUUUUUUUUCAGAAUUUUUUUUUAUCAUGGCACUUUCUAGAGGAGCUUAAACACAAACUUUCUCGAUUUUAAUCCCUAAAAAAGGUGAAGUAGAGGAUUUGAAAGAUUUUAGGCCCAUCAGCUUGGUUGGAAGAUUGUAUAAGCUUUUAAAGAAUGUCUUAGCUAAUCAUAGAUUAAAAAAAGUGGUGGGAAUGGUGGUUUCAAAUUCUCAGCUUGCUUUUGUGGAGGGUGGACAAAUUUUGGAUGUUGUGCUUGUUAGCCCAAGGGUUCUCCUAAUCAUGUUUUGAUGAUAACAAAUCAUGAUUAAGUUGCUAAUCAUUUUGAAUUCAAACGAAUUUUAGGUUUUAGUUUGGAAAUUCAAAAAGAUAUCCAAGAAAUUCAUUAAAAGACUCAAUGGAUGUAAGAUCAAGACACAUAGAAGAAUUUUUUAAUCUUAGGAAGCUAUGUAAGUUGAAUGCAAGGGUGCACUUAGCAUUUUCAUAUCUUUUCAUGCAUAUUUAAAAACUCGAUUAAGGCAUUAAAGUUAUAUUUCCAUUAAAACCCGAGUUUUAUCUAAUGAACCUUAGGCAAAUCAUUUCAAAAUUAACAUAAUCAUGGACCUAAAGACCUUACCUAAGUGUUAGAAGUAAAAAGAAUAUAAAAAGAUAAGUUUUCAGGCCAAAACUGGUGAACUGGUCAAGACACUGGUCAAUCGGCUCAAUCGGUUAGGGUACCGGUCGAUCGGUUAUGCCUUCUCGAUUAAGGGCCGGUCAAAAGAUGCAAAAAUGUUCUCUCUUCCGGUAGCCUUGCAUUCUCGGUUGAUGGUUGUCUUCCCGAUCAAGGCCUAACUAUCACCUGUCAUACAUUUAUUGCCCCAAUGACUAGUAAAUUGAUUGACCCCUUGUUCGACUGAUUGAGGCUGUUUUUUGGCUUUUUGGCUCCCGAGGCUAGAAACCUAUAAAUUGAGAGCUCCACUUCAUUUAUGAAUAUAAGAACACCUGCAUUUAUUUGUUUACCUACCCGUUCCUGACUCAAAAGCUCUCAUUCUUUCCUUGAUGCAUUAAAAUCCUCACUUGCAUAUUCUUUAGAGCACCCUUGUUAUUCAUCCUAGCAUUUAAGUUAUAUUUGAGCCCUUGUUGAGCUAGGUUGAGAGAUUUCAUAGUUUUAAAAGGCUCAAGGCUCACCAAGGUGCAAAGUAGUCCUGGAGCUUGAGGCGCUAGGCGCACCCAAGGCGCGGGCUUUAGUGAAGUGAGGCACACCCUAAUUUACAUAUAUAUUUUUAUAUAAUACAAUCAAAUUUAACAAUCAUUUAUUUGUCCUAAACACACAAAUCAUCAAAUGUCAUCCAAAACUUCAAUUUAAUCAACAAAAAACACAAAAAUAAAGAACUCCAAGCAUAAAAACAAAUCCAAAUCCAUAUUGCUAAUAACCUAAUACAUUUCCAAAUCCAAAGUUUCCAAACCAAAACAUGAAAUUUUUCCACAAUUCAAAAACAUCAUUAAAAAACACUUAAAUAACAAAUUUGCCCACAACAAGCAAUCAUCAUCAUCAUCAUUUCCAUCAUCACAUUUGUAGCCUUCCCCAUCUUCUUCAUUUGCUGAAUCAACCAUGUCUCCAUCUUCAUCUUCAUUUAUUAGUGAAUGAGAAGACAAAGUUUUAGACUUGAAGCUAUCCCCCUCGUUGGUGGUAUUAUGCUUGAGCUUGCUCUAGUUCUAGCUCUAGCUCUAGUAUCAAACCUGGCCUCCUCAGCUCCAAUAGCUCUAGCAACAUCAUCCCAUGUCAAAUUAUCAUCAUCAAAUACAAAAUCAUUUUGUGCACCUCCAUGAGAAUCCUCAUCUUCCAUUCUUCCUGUCAACCAUUCAUUGUAUCUUCUCUUCAAGGCUUGAUUAUACUUAAUGUAUACCAAAUCAUUCAAGUGUUGAUGAACUAAUCUAUUUCUCCUCUUGCUAUGAAUCUGUAAAAAUUCAUAAGCUCAUCAAUAUAUUUUAAAAUUUUAACUUUUAAGUUACAUUCAAGACUCUAUUAGACUAUUACUUGUAAUUAUUUUGGUCACUUACAUUUUCAAAGAUGCUCUAAUUCCGUUCACAACUGCAUGUUAAGUUGAGGACUUUCAUUGCAAACCUUUGCAAAUUUGGAGCUGAAGCUCCAUAUGCAGCCCACCAUUCAGCUGUAGUAUAGAUAUUAACAAUUUAGUGAAACAAUUCACCUAUUUUAGCAAAAAUACAAUCUAAUCAUUUAAAUAAACAAAGUCUUCCUUGUCCAAACAAGAUGCAUUUAUACAAAUCACUCAUAAUCUCUGCAUCAUGCUCUAUUUCUGGUUUAUGAUAGAAGAAUUCCAGGUUCAAAAAGUACCCUGUUGCAUGCAAAGGCCAAUGAAGCUGAAUCUCACACCUCUUAUCAAUGAUGUUGAAGAUUUCUUUAUACUACUCUUCAUUUCCAUUAAAACUUCUCACAAUUAUAUCCUUAGCUCUAUUCAUGGCCUCAUAUAUGUAUCCCAUAGGAGCUUUUUUUUCACCAUCAACCAAAUGAAGAACACGAACUAGGGGACCCGAAACCUUUAAGCAAAACACAAUAGUGUUCCAAAAUGAAGGCAUUAGAACUAUGUUGGCUAUAGUUUUCCCCUUUUGCCCAUUUACUAUCUGACCAAUCUAAGCUUGUAAACAUCUUCCUCAAGUAAUUUUUUUGUUCAUGCAAUUGUGAUAAUGUGAUGAAAGCAAUUGCAAAGUGAGUCUUAGCAGGCCUUAGCAAUUCCCUUUGUCCAGUAAACUGCUUCAUCAUGUUGAGUAGCCCUGAAUGAUUAUAAAUAUACUCAUUUAGUGAUAUAGCCCUCUCCAAUGUCCUCUUGAUGUUUGGUAGCUUUCCAAUAUCUUCCAACAUCAAGUCAAGGCAAUGUGCAACACAUGGUGUCCAAUACAAAUGCCAGCGCUUUAAUUCUAACAACCUCCCUAUGUGACAUUAUAGAUAAUAAAUUUACAUAAAUUCUCAAGAUAAAUAAUUGAAAUUUUAAAAAUAAAUAAAAAUUCAAGAAAUAGUAUUUAUUACCUGUCAUCACAUAACUUGAGUGAUUAUCUGUUAUAACUUGAAUAACAUUCUCCUCACCAACUUGCUUUAUCCAUUUGUCAAGUAACUCAAACAUGUUUUCUCCCUUCUUAAUCAUUGAAGAAUCAUUAAUAGAUUGCAUGAACAUGGUUCCCUUUGAACAAUUAACCAAAAAUUUCACCAAAGUUCUCUCUUUCAUGUCGGUCCAUCCAUCUGACAUAAUUGAACAUCCAUUUUUUUCCCCAUUCCACUAUAUGAUCUUUCAUCAAAUCUUUUGUGAGAGCCAAUUCUUUCUUAAGGUUAGUAACUCUUACCUCAUGAAGAGUUGGUCCCUUCAUACCCACACCAUAUUAGCCAAUAGCCUCAAUCAUUGGUUGGAAACUUGGAUAUGUGACUGCAUUAAAUGGAAUAGCAGCCUCAUACAUCCACCUUGUGAUAAGCAUACAAGCUCUUUCUCUUGCUUCCUUUUUGUAGGCAUCAUUGGUGGUAGUUUGUUUCAUCUUCCCACUCCUUCGAUUUUGAACAACCAUCUUUGCAUUAGGAGUGAAAAAAUGAUCCAUAGGACCUUUUUGUCUUGGUUUUUUUGAAGAAAACAUCCUACCACCGCUUCCUCAUCGGUUACUACCUACACUAGAAAUGUUGGUGACAUUCAUUCUACUAUUAAUCUCCUCACCAAAAUCUUCAUCUUUCAAACCAAACAAAUCUUUAUUAACAUCUUCGUUCCCCAUAUUCAUUUGCUCUUUUUGACUUUUCUUGGAACUCAUAUACUUUUCCAUUUCUUCUCUAAUAUGUUUCAGACAUUUUCUACACUUUUUAGCAUUUCUAUAUCCACCAACAAGAUGUUUGUCUCUAUAUAUGCCUCAUUUGGUUACUUUAUCACCAAAAAUGCAUAUGAUGGUGUUCAAAUCUUUUUCAUUAACCAAACGAGCAUACUUCCAUCUGGGAUCUUGAUUACUACUCAAAAAGUGCUAUUUCAUAGCUUGUAAUUAACUCUUUUAAACACUUUUGAGUAGUAGUUAUUGCCUUUUAACUCAAUUGGCAUGUUAAGGACCCUUGCAAUCAAUUUUAAUCAAUUUGUGUUAAAGUUUUGGUGUUUUGAUAGCUUUUUGAUCACCAAAGCAAUAUGAGAUUGAGGAGAGUUAUUUGGAAUCCAUGGCAAAGCAAUGGAAAACUCAGAAAUAUGAAGAACCAAAGCUUUGAAGUCCUUUGCCAUAAGCAAAUCCGGAAUGCAAGGAGGGGAAGCAAAGAGAAAUCUGCCAUGAAGCAUUCUUUAUGACAGUCAUGUCAGCCACUUUUGGAGCACUUUCUGGAGUCCAAUUUAUGUAUCCUAUAUGUCGUUUCGAAGCUCAGGAAGUCAACAAUUCAAUGCUUCAAACGGUGCACAAUUCGGAGUUGAAAUGAAGGAGUUACAACCAUUGGAAGCCGAUCACUCCAAACUGAAGGAAGAAUUUUGCACGGCUGCGAAAUCACCCUUUUGCUGCGAAGUGAUUUCGCAGCCAUUUUGCACAGUGCAAUGAAAUUUCUCUUGAAGUUUUCCGAUAUUUGCGACCGACACUUUUGGAUAUUUUGCUUCAGAUUUUUGAUGUCUAAAUCCCCAUUUUCUCCUUGUAACCCACCAAUUAUAGGAUUCCUUAGUUAUUAAGUUUGGGAAAGGGGUGAAUAACCUCAGAUAUUUUGUUUUGUAAUUUUCUUUAUAUAUAGCUCUCGGGAGCUUGUUCUCAGAGCAUCAUGUAAUCCAGGAGGACGGAGAGGACGACGGAUCCUUUUGUAAAAGUUUGAAAGAAAGUAAAAUACAGAGCCUUUGCUCUGCCUUACCUUCU
Molecule: RNA transcript, 9325 nt
Organism: Vitis vinifera (wine grape)
Lineage: Eukaryota; Viridiplantae; Streptophyta; Magnoliopsida; Vitales; Vitaceae
Exons: 14
Source: RefSeq, a predicted model, not a curated record